Molecule: long non-coding RNA, 425 nt
Organism: Mus musculus (house mouse)
Lineage: Eukaryota; Metazoa; Chordata; Mammalia; Rodentia; Muridae
Product: predicted gene, 53652
Exons: 3
Source: RefSeq, a predicted model, not a curated record
AAGGAAAUGUUCCAGUUUGGCUCUUAAUACUGGAGGGAAAAGUAACUGUGAUUUUUAGUUUUUUUCCUGAGACCCUUUUCAUCAGUUUAAAGAGGGUACCUCCAAAACAAUGAGUGUAUUUGCCUUCCACAGGAUAACAGGUGUGGCCGCGGCCCCAACAUGGCGCCCGGGACUGCUGCCAAGUCUGACUUCCUCAUAUCCUUCAAGAUAGUCACGUACCUUGAGCUGCAUUGCGCAGAUGCACCACGACGUAAGAUCAGAUGAUGUGACAAAUGCAGUCCUGAGCCAAUGAACUGUGCCUACGUGGACUGGGGUGAGGGGGGGGGGGUGGACUGGAGGGGAUAAAGGGGGAUGGCGGAGAGAGGUCGGGGAUUCUUUUUCUACACAUUUGUGAAGUUCCUGAAUAAACUGCCUUGAGAAGGACA